This 339-nucleotide ribosomal RNA is filed under the name uncultured Streptococcus sp. RNAcentral describes it as "bacterial SSU rRNA". It matches the Rfam family "Bacterial small subunit ribosomal RNA", at positions 1040 to 1382 of the family's 1533-position model. Lineage: Bacteria; Bacillati; Bacillota; Bacilli; Lactobacillales; Streptococcaceae. The record is from RNAcentral.
GGUGCAUGGUUGUCGUCAGCUCGUGUCGUGAGAUGUUGGUUAAGUCCGCAACGAGCGCAACCCCUAUUGUUAGUUGCCAUCAUUCAGUUGGGCACUCUAGCGAGACUGCCGGUAAUAAACCGGAGGAAGGUGGGGAUGACGUCAAAUCAUCAUGCCCCUUAUGACCUGGGCUACACACGUGCUACAAUGGUUGGUACAACGAGUUGCGAGUCGGUGACGGCGAGCUAAUCUCUUAAAGCCAAUCUCAGUUCGGAUUGUAGGCUGCAACUCGCCUACAUGAAGUCGGAAUCGCUAGUAAUCGCGGAUCAGCACGCCGCGGUGAAUACGUUCCCGGGCCUU